This 62-nucleotide transfer RNA is filed under the name Trichuris sp. TMM5. RNAcentral's name for it is "tRNA-Tyr". The record is from RNAcentral. Lineage: Eukaryota; Metazoa; Nematoda; Enoplea; Trichinellida; Trichuridae.
AGGCAAUUUCUGAGUGAAUAAGACUGUAAAUUUUAUUGCGCUCAAGUUAUAUUAAUAUUGCU